Molecule: long non-coding RNA, 1596 nt
Filed under: Homo sapiens (human)
Lineage: Eukaryota; Metazoa; Chordata; Mammalia; Primates; Hominidae
Description: HSALNT0292318
Source: RNAcentral
CAGACACAGAGGAGAAAGCCAUGUGAAGACAGAGGCAGAGGUUGGAGUCAUGCAGCUACAAACCAAGGGACAUCAGGGAUUACUGGCAACCAUCGGGAAAGAGGCCUGGAGCAGAUUCAUCUUCAGCACCCCCAGAGAGAAUGAGCCCUGCCAAAAGCUGGAUUUUUGACUUCUAGUCUUCAAACUUAUGAGAGCCAAGCAUGGUGGCUCAUACCUGUAAUCCCGGCCCUUUGGGAAGCCAAAGCAGGAGGACAGCUUGAGCCCAGGAGUUCGAGGCCAGCCUGGGCAACAUGGAGAAUGUCUUCUCCAAGCAGCUAUUUUUAUGGGAACCAGAGGAUACUGACCAGAGGAAGAUAAGGAGCCUUUCCUUCACAUGGGUCUAAGAAACUCACCAUUUUCCUCAACAUCUGACCUGACAACUGGUUUCCCAGCAUUGGCCCCAAGAAAUACCACCUGCCAUCGCUACCUGGAUUCUGCAGCCCCCAAAGCCACAGCCUUCCACCUUCCUUCCCCAGCAAGACAAAUGGGGUAACCUGUUUGUAGCAUCCUCAGGAGUCCUUGGGGGGAGGAGAACCUGACGGAGAUGAGAAGAUAGGCCACGCCCAGCUCCAACGAGUGGCACACGUGUAAGCAUUUAAGCAUUUAGGCUGGCUGAGGGUGGCAGUCCUGACCUCUGUUUUUAAGGAAGCCUGCCCAGGGUUUUAUAGUCCAGGGUUCCUUGUGAUCCUCAAGGCUUCCUUUACUCCUACCCCUGAAAAAACUCCAAGGGAAGAACUUCAAAGCUGCUUUCUCUUUAUAAAUCUCACAGCCUGGGGACAUUCUGCCCACCCAAGUAAAACCCCCAGAUCUAUGAUGCAUCUGGAGGUUUCCAAGGCUUCCCUGGCUUUAUUGGAUAGUCUCUUCCCAACAGCCCUUGGGGUUCUUGUUCAAUGAGCUUACUUAGCCAGGUUGUACAUUCUAUCCAAAUACUACCUAUCCUUAGGCACUUCCCCUGAGACAUCACAUCUCCAGGAAGCCUCCCUCAGACUGGUUGGGUUCCCCAGAGCACUUUGCCCUUAGCUCUAGUAAAGCACAGGUACAUCAUGAUGGUUAGUAUUGAGUAUCAACUUGAUUGGAUUGAAGGAUGUGAAAUACUGUUCCUGGGUGUGUCUGUGAGGGUGAUGUCAAAGGAGAUUAACAUUCGAGUCAGUGGACUGGGAGAGGCAGACCCACCCUCAAUCCGGGUGGGCAGCAUCUAAUCAGCUGCCAGCACAGCUAGGAUAAAGCAGGCAGAAGAACGUGGAAAAACUAGACUUGCUGAGUCUUCAGCCUUCAUCUUUCUCCCAUGCUGGAUGCUUCCUGCCCUCAAACAUCAGACUCCAAGUUCUUCAGCUUUGGGACUCCUGGACCUACAUCAGUGGUAUUCCAGGGGCUCUUGGGCCUUUGGCCACAGACUGAAGACUGCACUGUUGGCUUCCCUACUUUUGAGGUUUGGGGACUCAGACUGACCCACCACUGGCUUCCUUGCUCCUCAACUUGUAAACGGCCUAUUGUGGGACUUUGACCUUGUGAUCGUGUGAAUCAAUUCUCCUUAAUAAAAUCCCUUUCCUAUAUACA